GUCUGUGUGGCAUAGUGGCUAUUGCGUAAGACUCAUGAUCUUAAGUUCGGCGGUUCAAAUCCCCCCGCAGACG
This is a non-coding RNA of Tritrichomonas musculus, 73 nucleotides long. NCBI's taxonomy places the organism in Eukaryota, Parabasalia, Tritrichomonadida, Tritrichomonadidae. The record is from the annotation of a GenBank genome assembly.